Molecule: ribosomal RNA, 468 nt
Filed under: uncultured bacterium
Lineage: Bacteria
Description: partial 16S ribosomal RNA
Rfam family: Bacterial small subunit ribosomal RNA
Source: RNAcentral
GACGAACGCUGGCGGCGUGCUUAACACAUGCAAGUCGAACGGAAAGGCCCUGCUUUUGUGGGGUGCUCGGGUGGCGAACGGGUGAGUAACACGUGAGUAACCUGCCCUUGACUUUGGGAUAACUUCAGGAAACUGGGGCUAAUACCGGAUAGGAGCUCCUGCUGCAUGGUGGGGGUUGGAAAGUUUCGGCGGUUGGGGACGGACUCGCGGCUUAUCAGCUUGUUGGUGGGGUAGUGGCUUACCAAGGCUUUGACGGGUAGCCGGCCUGAGAGGGUGACCGGCCACAUUGGGACUGAGAUACGGCCCAGACUCCUACGGGAGGCAGCAGUGGGGAAUAUUGCACAAUGGGCGGAAGCCUGAUGCAGCAACGCCGCGUGCGGGAUGACGGCCUUCGGGUUGUAAACCGCUUUCGCCUGUGACGAAGCGUGAGUGACGGUAAUGGGUAAAGAAGCACCGGCUAACUACGUG